GGCCCUAUAGUUUAGUGGAAGAAUUCGAACUUCGGGUGUUCGAGGCGCGGGUUCGAUUCUCGCUGGGGCCA
Molecule: non-coding RNA, 71 nt
Organism: Schistocerca gregaria
Lineage: Eukaryota; Metazoa; Arthropoda; Insecta; Orthoptera; Acrididae
Source: the annotation of a RefSeq genome assembly